This 358-nucleotide unclassified non-coding RNA is filed under the name uncultured bacterium. RNAcentral's name for it is "contains 16S-23S intergenic spacer region". The stretch from base 1 to 126 matches the Rfam family "5.8S ribosomal RNA", at positions 29 to 154 of the family's 154-position model. The record is from RNAcentral.
UGCAUCGAUGAAGAACGCAGCGAAAUGCGAUAACUAGUGUGAAUUGCAGAAUUCCGUGAAUCAUCGAGUCUUUGAACGCACAUUGCGCCCCCUGGUAUUCCGGGGGGCAUGCCUGUCCGAGCGUCAUUGCUGCCCAUCAAGCACGGCUUGUGUGUUGGGUCGUCGUCCCCUCUUCGGGGGGGACGGGCCCCAAAGGCAGCGGCGGCACCGCGUCCGAUCCUCGAGCGUAUGGGGCUUUGUCACCCGCUCUGUAGGCCCGGCCGGCGCUUGCCGAACGCAAAACAACCAUUCUUUCCAGGUUGACCUCGGAUCAGGUAGGGAUACCCGCUGAACUUAAGCAUAUCAAUAAGCGGAGGAA